UACGGGGGGGGCAAGCGUUGUUCGGAAUUACUGGGCGUAAAGGCUCGUAGGCGGCCAACUAAGUCGGAUGUGAAAUCCCCAGGCUCAACUUGGGAACUGCAUCCGAUACUGGAUGGCUUGAAUUCGGGAGAGGGAUGCAGAAUUCCAGGUGUAGCGGUGAAAUGCGUAGAUAUCUGGAGGAACACCGGUGGCGAAGGCGGCUCACUGGCCCGGUACUGACGCUGAGGUGCGAAAGCGUGGGGAGCAAACAGG
RNAcentral lists this ribosomal RNA (252 nucleotides) under uncultured bacterium. RNAcentral's name for it is "partial 16S ribosomal RNA". It matches the Rfam family "Bacterial small subunit ribosomal RNA", at positions 524 to 776 of the family's 1533-position model. The record is from RNAcentral.